Molecule: RNA transcript, 6517 nt
Organism: Ctenopharyngodon idella (grass carp)
Lineage: Eukaryota; Metazoa; Chordata; Actinopteri; Cypriniformes; Xenocyprididae
Gene: cltcl1
Gene name: clathrin, heavy chain-like 1
Exons: 33
Source: RefSeq, a predicted model, not a curated record
UACACGAGACCCCCUCACAGUCCCUUCAGCUGCAAACUCCUGUGUUUCACUCCUAUAUACCUCACACAGCUUCUGUAAGAGUGUGUUUACAGCAUCAGCGCCGCAGGACAGGAGUAUCUCCCUCAUUCAGCUCGUAUCAGUACGCGCGGAUCUACUUUCUCACGCGGAGGAGUCCGGCAGCGCUCCGAGAAGUUGUCAGGAGUGAAUCUGACCGGCUGAAGACAGAGAGAUUCACGAUCGUUCGCGGAAUAUCAGCGUCUAACGGGACACACAACUCGGAGGAACAGAACACAAACACAACUCUUCAUCUGCGCCUCCUCCUCCUCCUCCUCCUCCUCCUCCUCAUCUUCCUCCUCUCCUCUCAGUGUGUUGGUGCUGGGAGAAUGGCGCAGAUUUUACCCAUCCGCUUUCAGGAGCAUCUGCAGCUGCAGGCGCUGGGAGUGAGUCCGGCCAGCAUCAGCUUCAGCUGCCUGACCAUGGAGUCGGACCGCUUCAUCUGCAUCCGAGAGAAGGUGGGCGAGCAGAACCAGGUGGUCAUCGUCGACCUGAGCGAUCCGACCAACCCGAUCCGCCGGCCGAUCACGGCAGACAGCGCCAUCAUGAACCCGGCGAGCAAAGUCAUCGCGCUGAAAGCGGCGCGGACGCUUCAGAUCUUCAACCUGGAGAUGAAGAGUAAGGUGAAGGCUCACACCAUGACGGAUGAGAUCCUGUUCUGGAAGUGGAUCUCCGUUAACACCAUCGCCCUGGUUACGGACACGGCCGUGUAUCAUUGGAGCAUGGAGGGAGACUCUCAGCCAAUCAAGAUGUUUGAUCGUCACGCCAGUCUCGCAGGAUGUCAGAUCAUCAACUACAGAACGGACGAGCAGCAGAAGUGGCUCCUGCUUAUCGGGAUAUCAGCGCAGCAGAACCGGGUCAUCGGUGCCAUGCAGUUGUUCUCCGUGGACCGUAAGGUCUCUCAGCCCAUCGAGGGUCACACGGCGGCGUUUGGACUUUAUAAACUGGAGGGAAACCCGAACGCUUCGACGCUCUUCUGCUUCGCUGUCAGAGGACAGGCUGGAGGAAAGCUGCACAUCAUCGAGGUCGGUCAGCCUCAGACUGGUAACCAGCCCUUCACUAAGAAAGCAGUGGACGUGUUUUUCCCUCCUGAAGCACAGACGGACUUCCCCGUGGCCAUGCAGAUCGGUACGAAGCACGGCGUCAUCUACCUCAUCACUAAAUACGGCUAUUUCCACAUGUAUGAUCUGGAGUCAGGUGUGUGUGUUUACAUGAACCGCAUCAGCGCUGAAACCAUAUUCGUCACGGCCGCUCACGAGAGCACGUCUGGAAUCAUCGGGGUCAAUAAGAAGGGGCAGGUCCUGUCGGUGUGUGUUGAGGAGGAGAACAUUGUGAAUUACGUGACUAGUGUGCUGCAGAAUCCCGAGCUGGCGUUACGGAUGGCAUUACGCAGCGAUCUUCCCGGAGCCGAGGAGCUCUUGACACACAAGUUCAACACGCUCUUCUCACAGGGCAGCUACACGGAGGCGGCCAAAGUCGCUGCAUCAGCUCCCAAGGGUGUCUUGCGUACGGCAGACACCAUCCGCAGGUUCCAGGCGGUGCCGGCUCAGGGCAGCCAGGCGUCUCCGCUGCUGCAGUAUUUCGGGGUUCUGCUGGACCGCGGGCAGCUGAAUAAGCUGGAGUCGGUGGAGCUCUGCAGGCCGGUGCUGCAGCAGGGACGCACACAGCUCCUGGAGAAGUGGCUCAAGGGAGAGAAGCUGGAGUGUUCGGAGGAGUUGGGUGAUCUGGUGAAGGCCGCUGACAUCACUCUGGCCCUCAGCGUUUAUCUCCGGGCGAAUGUUCCUGCUAAAGUCAUUCAGUGCUUUGCUGAGACCGGUCAAUUCCAGAAGAUAGUCCUCUAUGCUAAGAAGAUGGGAUAUUCUCCAGACUGGGUGAUGUUGUUGAGGAGUGUGAUGAGAUCCGGGCCUGAUCAGGGUCUUCAGUUUGCUCAGAUGCUGAUUCAGGACGAAGAACCGCUGGUGAACAUCAGCCAGGUGGUUGAUGUCUUCAUGGAGAAUAAUCUAGUGCAGCAGUGUACUUCAUUCCUAUUGGACGCUCUGAAGAACAACCGGCCGGAGGAGGGGCCUCUACAGACACGCCUCCUGGAGAUGAACCUCAUCCACGCCCCUCAGGUAGCAGAUGCGAUCCUGGGUAAUCAGAUGUUCACACACUACGACCGCGCUCACAUCGCUCAGCUGUGUGAGAAAGCUGGUUUACUGCAGAGAGCGCUGGAGCAUUACACCGACCCCUACGACAUCAAACGAGCCAUCGUACACACACACCUGCUCAACCCAGAGUGGUUGGUGAAUUUCUUUGGCGCUCUGUCUGUCGGCGACUCCAUCGAGUGUUUAAGAGCCAUGCUGGCUGCAAACCUCCGUCAAAACCUGCAGUUGAGCGUUCAGGUCGCGACCAAGUACCACGAGCAGCUGGGAACGCAAACGCUGGUGGAGCUUUUCGAGUCCUUUAAGAGUUAUGAGGGUCUGUUUUAUUUUCUGGGAUCUAUCGUGAACUUCAGUCAAGACCCUGAUGUGCAUUUCAAAUACAUUCAGGCCGCGUGUAAGACGGGUCAGAUCAAAGAGGUGGAGCGCAUCUGCCGAGAGAGCAACUGCUACGACGCCGAACGCGUCAAGAACUUCCUCAAGGAAGCCAAACUCACAGAUCAGCUGCCUCUCAUCAUCGUGUGCGACCGCUUCGAUUUCGUCCACGAUCUCGUUCUGUACCUGUACCGCAACAGCUUGCAGAAAUACAUCGAGAUCUACGUACAGAAGGUCAAUCCCAGCCGGCUGCCGGUGGUGGUCGGUGGUCUGCUGGACGUCGACUGCUCCGAGGACACCAUUAAGAGUCUGAUCCUGGCCGUACGAGGAACUUUCAGCACUGACCAGCUGGUGGAGGAAGUGGAAAAAAGAAACCGACUGAAGCUGCUCUUGUCCUGGCUGGAGUCUCGUGUUCAGGAGGGCUGUGAAGAGCCUGCUACCCACAAUGCCUUGGCGAAGAUCUACAUAGACAGUAACACCAGUCCCGAGCGCUUCCUCCGAGAGAACCUGCACUACGACAGCGUCACCGUGGGCCGUUACUGCGAGAAGAGAGACCCGCACCUGGCGUUCGUGGCCUAUGAGAGAGGCCAGUGUGACCUGGAGCUCAUACAGGUGUGCAAUGAAAACUCCUUGUUUAAAAGCGAGUCUCGAUACCUGGUGCGACGGAAAGAUCCAGAUCUCUGGGCUGGGGUUUUGCAGGAGACGAACCCCUACAGACGGCCGCUGAUCGAUCAGGUGGUUCAGACCGCUCUACCUGAGACGCAGGAUCCGGAGGAAGUGUCUGUGACGGUGAAGGCGUUUAUGACGGCAGAUCUGCCCAAUGAGCUCAUAGAACUUCUGGAGAAGAUAGUUCUGGAGAACUCCAUAUUUAGUGAACACAGAAACCUGCAGAACCUGCUGAUACUGACGGCCAUAAAAGCGGACCGUACGCGGGUCAUGGAGUACAUCAACCGUCUGGACAAUUACGACGCUCCUGACAUCGCCAACAUCGCCAUCAGCAACGAGCUGUAUGAAGAGGCGUUCUCCAUCUUUAAGAAGUUUGACGUCAACACCUCAGCGAUACAGGUUCUGAUCGAGCACAUCGGGAAUCUGGACCGGGCGUAUGAGUUUGCGGAGCGCUGCGGCGAGAGCUCGGUGUGGAGUCAGCUCGCUCAGGCUCAGCUUCAGCAGUCUCUGGUCAAAGAGGCCAUCGACUCUUACAUCAAAGCAGGAGAACCGUCGGCGUACAUGGAGGUGGUUGAUGCGGCCAGUAAAAACGGCAACUGGGAGGAUCUGGUGAAGUUUCUUCAAAUGGCGAGAAAGAAAGCCAGAGAGUCUUACAUCGAGACGGAGCUCAUCUUCGCUCUGGCUAAAACAAACCGUCUCACAGACCUGGAGGACUUUAUCAACGGCCCAAACAACGCUCACAUACAGCAAGUUGGCGAGAGGUGUUAUGAAGAGUGCAUGUUUGAAGCUGCCCGUCUGCUCUUUAAUAACGUGUCUAAUUUCGCUCGUCUGGCGUCCACGCUCGUUCACCUCGGCGAGUUUCAGGCGGCCGUUGACAGCGCACGCAAGGCCAGCUGCACACGCACCUGGAAAGAGGUGUGUUUUGCUUGUGUGGAUGGAGAGGAGUUCCGGUUAGCGCAGAUCUCCGGCCUUCACAUCGUCACUCAUGCUGAUGAAUUGGAGGAACUCAUUAACUACUAUCAGGAUCGUGGGUAUUUUGAGGAGCUGAUCGUGCUGUUGGAGGCGGCAUUAGGGCUGGAGCGCGCUCACAUGGGCAUGUUCACUGAGCUGGCCAUCCUCUACUCCAAAUACAAACCCCAGAGGAUGAGAGAACAUCUGGAGCUCUUCUGGUCUCGCGUCAACAUCCCCAAGGUGUUACGAGCGGCUGAACAGGCCCAUCUGUGGGCGGAGCUUGUGCUCCUGUAUGAUAAAUACGAGGAGUAUGACAAUGCCAUCUUGACGAUGAUGACGCACCCUACAGACGCCUGGAGAGACGCUUCCUUCAAAGAGCUCAUCAGCAAGGUGGCGAAUGUGGAGCUGUAUUAUAAAUCUCUGCAGUUUUAUUUGGACUAUAAACCGCUGCUGCUCAAUGAUCUGCUGUCUGUACUCGCUCCUCGACUGGACCACGGCAGAGCCGUCAGCUACUUCAGCAAGGUGAAUCAGUUGCGGCUGGUGAAACCGUACCUCAGAUCAGUGCAAAUCCACAAUAACAGAGCCGUGAAUGAAGCGCUCAACAACCUGCUGACGGAGGAAGAGGACUAUCAGGGUCUGCGCGCCUCCAUCGACGCGUACGAUAACUUCGACUCCGUCGGUUUAGCUCAGAGGCUGGAGACACACGAGCUCAUUGAGUUCAGACGCAUCGCCGCGUAUCUCUACAAGAGCAACCAGCGCUGGGCUCAGAGCAUCCAGCUGUGCAAGAAAGACAAGCUUUACAAGGAUGCGAUGCAGUUCGCGGCCGAGUCUCAGGACGGCGCUCAGGCUCAGGAUCUCUUGCGCUGGUUUGUUGAAGAGGGGAAGCGGGAGUGUUUCGCCGCGUGUCUCUUCAGCUCGUAUGAUCUUCUGGCUCCUGACGUGGUCUUAGAGCUGGCCUGGAGACACGGCCUCAUGGACUCUGCCAUGCCUUACUUCAUUCAGGUGAUGAGGGAGUACCUGAGCAAGGUGGAUGAAUUAGCCAGGCAGGUGAAGGUCUCUGACCCGUUCUGUCCGUCUCUCUCUGUAUUAGAUAUUAGCGCAUGUAGAGUACAGAUGCUGCACUCUUUUAUAACAGGUUCCUGAAUAGUUUGCUUGAUUACCCACAAUGCACUGCUCUGUAGCUGUGAUGAGCCUGUUUGUUUGUUUGUUUGUGUGUGCGUGGAUGUUUCUGAGAAAGAGGCUAAUUAUUAUAAUAAGGAGUUAUUCAGAAGGAUCGCUGGAGUUCUCACACGAGCCGUAAUCGUUUACAGCUGUGAGAAAGACGACCUUCACAAACCAAAAUGAUUAUUCAUCAUUAUAACGUCCUGUAAAUCCGGCGGAUGUCUGGUGUGUCUUUGCUUCAGACUCUCUUUAAAGCUGCAGUACGUCAGUUUGACCUGCAGAUGGCAACAAAGUCACUCUUAGAUUUAACUUGGGAAAGCCUGACAUAUGAAAUAAUUGUCAAAAAAUGUUUGUUUUUUUAAACAGAAGAGUUUAUUGAACCUUUAGAGAAAAUCUAAAACAAAAAAUUGCAUGUGUGGCUCAUAUAGUAUGAUUUAUGAAUAUGCAAAAAAAAAGGUGCAGAUGCUGAUAUUUAUAUGGACAAAAAGUUGAUGACAUUUUGAUAGCUUGUAAUGUAAAUCAGUUGGAUAUUUAUAACAGUAAAACAGGUACUUGCAUAAAGUGCAUAUAAAUAUCAAUAUCUGCCAAUAAUAUGUCUUAGCAAGAUGAUAUUUAAAUGCUUAGUUUUAUGAUCAAAGCUCUGUAGUUACAAUGAUAUAUGAUGAUUGAGAGAUGAACAAAUAAACCUUCCUCAAAUGAUGAUGAUCAUAUUUGAUACUCAUGAUUUUUAACAUGAUUUUUCUAAAAAUGAUAAAUCAAGUAAACCUGAGUUGCUUCAGUCCAGUAAGUGUUCAUCUUGAAAUAUUACUAAAAUAUCAAUUUUUUUUCUUAUAUUUACUUUAUAAAAAUCAUUAAAGGCAUCCUUGAUUAUGAUUUGACUUUUUUAACUUUAGUUAGUGUGUAAUGUUGCUGUUUGAGCAUAAACAACAUCUGCAAAGUUACAGCGCUCAAAGUUCAAUGCAAAGGGAGAUAUUUUCUUUUACAGAAAUCGCUUUUUAAGGACUACAACCAACGGCUGGUAGGGACUACAACGAGCUUCUUCCUGGGUGGAUAAACUGCAGGAGGCCGAGAACAAGAGAGCGUCUGAAGACGAGUCUCCCGAAUCCUCCUCCAUAGUCUACGGGCAACAGCUGAUGUUGAACGGCAGUCAGACCGGCGUCACACCCCAGCCG